AGACUUUUCCAGCUUUGACGUCUCCGUCCCAUAGAUCGAGAAUCUCCUGGCGUUUUGCAAUCCUGUUUGGUAUCAACCAGUUCUCUCUGUCAGAUUUACCAGGAAUCGAUCAGAUAUGAACUGGGUUCAACGCAAAAUCUACCUUUAUAAUGUCACAUUCGGGCUCUACAUGCUUGAUUGGUGGGAACGAUAUCUCUUCAAUUCUUUGGUGGUAGUUUUGAUGUGGUUCGUUAUAUACAACGGUACUCGCUACUUUUCGGAGCUUUUCCAGAGGCAUUUGACAUGAAAACAGGUCUUGUUUCUUGCACAGUAGAGCACCAAAAAGCCUGGAACCUUCAAAGGCAUGCAUGUUUGGUUUCAAUUCUGAGACGUAUACCAGCAAAAUCCCCUUUUUCGGCAUCACCUCUCAUUUUGUCAAUUUUCCUCCAAAGGCUCUAGGACUGUUCGUAUGUCUCUGUAUUAUUUGUUUCCAGGUUUUUGCAAUUAACAGAAAUGAUUUGUAGACGCGUAAGAUCGCAAGUCUUCCUGUUGUAUUUCCAAAUCACUUUGAGACAUGAUCUAAGCAUACUUCUUUG
Molecule: RNA transcript, 575 nt
Organism: Arabidopsis lyrata subsp. lyrata
Lineage: Eukaryota; Viridiplantae; Streptophyta; Magnoliopsida; Brassicales; Brassicaceae
Exons: 4
Source: RefSeq, a predicted model, not a curated record